AGUGAACGCUGGCGGCGUGCCUAACACAUGCAAGUCGAACGCGAAAGCCCCGCAAGGGGUAAGUAGAGUGGCAGACGGGUGAGUAAUGCAUAGGUAAUCUACCUUUGAGUGGGGUAUAACACACCGAAAGGUAUGCUAAUCCCGCAUAAUAUCUCGAUGCAUAAGCGUCGGGAUCAAAGAGGGGGACCCUUCGGGGCCUCUCGCUUGAAGAGGAGCCUAUGUCCUAUUAGCUAGUUGGUGAGGUAAUGGCCCACCAAGGCUAUGAUGGGUAGCCGAGCUGAGAGGCUGAUCGGCCACACUGGAACUGAAACACGGUCCAGACUCCUACGGGAGGCAG
This 337-nucleotide ribosomal RNA is filed under the name uncultured Nitrospirota bacterium. RNAcentral describes it as "bacterial SSU rRNA". It matches the Rfam family "Bacterial small subunit ribosomal RNA", at positions 29 to 351 of the family's 1533-position model. Lineage: Bacteria; Pseudomonadati; Nitrospirota. The record is from RNAcentral.